Molecule: transfer RNA, 58 nt
Filed under: Fastosarion minerva
Lineage: Eukaryota; Metazoa; Mollusca; Gastropoda; Stylommatophora; Helicarionidae
Description: tRNA-Val
Source: RNAcentral
CUUUAUUAAUAAAUUAAGUAUAUAUGUACAUAUCAUUUACAAUGAUAAAGUCUAAUUA